GUAAAGUUCAGACGCACUGGGAGGUUCAGACGCACCAGCCUUGUGUUCCUGAAGCUUGUCCACGUCUACAAGGUCCCCCAUGAUUUUAAGUGAUCGUUCUCCCAAGUCAGGCUCCCCCUGGCCAGGGUCUCACCUGUCCACAACCGUGUCUGCAAACCUAAUGUCGCAGGAGAAGAGGUGUCUCUAAAGGAGUCCCAAGAGAGAAAGGAGCUCAUUCAGGACCAGCGGGGGUCUUGGCUUAUGUGACAGAAUUUCAGCACGUACCAGUCAAAGGCCCAAACAGAGGUUUAUUGAGGAGGUUCUCCAGUGGCCUGUUGCCCUGCUGCCCCAGCCCAGGUGGAUGUCCUCCCCCAUUUCCUGCCUGUGAGGAGACGCCAUGGCUGUUAAUGCCUGAAAUGGUUUUUCUUCCAACUUUCCAAACAGCAGUGCUCAGCUAUCCUGCCACCUUAACAUUCGAGCACCUUCUCAGCUGUCUUGAGACUGAGGCCCGGGGCUCAUCUGUGGGGUUGGUGAUGUGGGCUUCGGGGUGUGGGAUUCAUUGUGCGGGUGCAGUCCCAGGUCCCACCCAGAGACUGGCAGUGUUGAGCGGCCAGAGCUUUUCCAUUUUACCUGGGCAACAAGGUGCAACUCUUGGGUGCUGACCAGAAGGCAGGUGAAUGAGCCUCUACAACUAAAACCUAUGCCCAGGUUUCGGCUUCAUAUGGGAAAGGGUGGCUCCCCGAGGAGGCUGCUCCCCCAGCCCCAACUGAGGAGCCAGGCCCACUGCAGAAACCUUCCCACCAAGCUAGCUUCAGAAGUGGGGGGGCCACAGGGCAGGUGGAGAACGGUCCCGGAGCUGGCGGCCCACUGCCCGUCUUUUGCGGGGACAUUUGCCCCUUGGGGUGUGGGCUUGGUGCAGGCAGGAGCUGCAGCUCCAGGGAGAGGAGAUCAGCCGUGCUUCCCACAGGCGUGGAGGUCAAAGAGGCAAACUUGGAGACUCCAGGGGCCUCGGGUGCUGAGCGGACCCCCAUCCCCCUCCAAGACCAGGGUGAAAUCUUGACCCUGCAUUUUGGGAAGGUGAAGGCUCCAGUCUGAACGCCUCGGGGCUGCCCAGCUCAAACCUGCCCGGCUUCCAGACCAGCUUCGAAGAGGCCAGUCCCUGAAGCAGGCAAGCCAGAGGAGGAAGACCCGUCUCACCAAACUCUGACCCAGUCCUGCCCCCAGGCCAGCUGGGAUCCAGUCCUGCCCUGUCCACCCAGCUACUUCUGAGGUUUGGGUACAGAAAUGACUCCAUGAGACCGUCUCCUGUGCAAAUCACAGCCACAGUUGCUGACCAAACACAGGAGACACUCGCCAAGGGGCCUGGAGGGGGCCUGAAGCCAGACCCUGACUGUGGGGACAACACUCGGGAGGAAGGAUACCAGGGCAGCUCCCUUGGUGCCAACCCCUGACAACCCAUGGGAUCCCUGACUGGUAGAACCAGAGGGCAGAGUUUGGGGUGACCACAGCAGCCUGGAAGUGAGGGGGAAAUCCAUAAAAAAGAAGGCCACAGGGCCAGGUGCAGUGGCACAUGCCUGUAGUCCCAGCAGCUCAGGAGGCUGAGGCAGGAGGAUCGCAUGUUCAAAGCCAGCUUUAGCAAG
Non-coding RNA from Ictidomys tridecemlineatus (thirteen-lined ground squirrel), 1619 nucleotides. The record is from RefSeq and is a predicted model, not a curated record. NCBI's taxonomy places the organism in Eukaryota, Metazoa, Chordata, Mammalia, Rodentia, Sciuridae.